RNAcentral lists this ribosomal RNA (253 nucleotides) under uncultured bacterium. RNAcentral describes it as "partial 16S ribosomal RNA". It matches the Rfam family "Bacterial small subunit ribosomal RNA", at positions 524 to 776 of the family's 1533-position model. The record is from RNAcentral.
UACGGAGGAUCCAAGCGUUGUCCGGAUUUAUUGGGUUUAAAGGGUGCGUAGGCGGUUUAUUAAGUCAGUGGUGAAAGUUUGCGGCUCAACCGUAAAAUUGCCAUUGAAACUGAUAGACUUGAGUUUGGUUGAGGUUGCCGGAAUGUGUCAUGUAGCGGUGAAAUGCUUAGAUAUGAUACAGAACACCGAUUGCGAAGGCAGGUGACUAAACCAAUACUGACGCUGAGGCACGAAAGCGUGGGGAUCAAACAGG